RNAcentral lists this transfer RNA (61 nucleotides) under Kalasha nativa. Its description in RNAcentral is "tRNA-Ser". The record is from RNAcentral. Lineage: Eukaryota; Metazoa; Arthropoda; Insecta; Hemiptera; Cicadellidae.
AAGAGAUUAAAUAAAUCAGCCGCUAACUGAAUUUUUAAGCAAUAUAAAUGUUUAUCUCUUA